This is an RNA transcript of Penaeus monodon (black tiger shrimp), 593 nucleotides long. It is a transcript of the gene named leiomodin-3-like, with no coding region annotated. The transcript has 3 exons. The record is from RefSeq and is a predicted model, not a curated record. Lineage: Eukaryota; Metazoa; Arthropoda; Malacostraca; Decapoda; Penaeidae.
UUGUCCCGACACUCCUGCGUCAUGAAGGUCUUGCUGCUCGUCGCUCUGGGUCUGGUCGCCCUGGCCGCCGCUCGACCCUCUGACAUCAUCGACAUCGAGCAGGACCACAUGGAGCACGAGCAGGAGGGCGUGCCAGGGACGGCCGUGGAGGGCGAGUACUCGUGGGUAGCGCCCGACGGGAACGAGUACCACGUCAAGUACGUCGCCGACCGCUUCGGUUACCGCGUGGUCGAGGACAACGUCGUUCCCAAGGUUCGCAGCGACUUGCCUGAAGCUGAAGAGGACGAUGAAGCGGAAGAGGCCGAGGAGGACGUCCCCGCGGCCAGAGCUGCUGCCGAGCUCGAGGAGGACGAAGAGGACGAGGAGGGAGCCGAGGAGGAAGACGAGGAAUAGAUAUGUUCGAAAAUAGUAAUAACGACAACAAAAAUAACAAAAACGUAUCUAGUUCUUAAGUUCGACGUGUGAGAGAUUAUAGGAUUUGAACCUGAAGUUAUAUUUCUUCAGUCGAGGAACGGUACGUAAAGAGAGAGAGAGAGAGAGAGAGAGAGAGAGAGAGAGAGAGAGAGAGAGAUAGUAAUUUCAUUUCAUAAAAA